Molecule: ribosomal RNA, 1195 nt
Filed under: Bacteroides faecis
Lineage: Bacteria; Pseudomonadati; Bacteroidota; Bacteroidia; Bacteroidales; Bacteroidaceae
Description: bacterial SSU rRNA
Rfam family: Bacterial small subunit ribosomal RNA
Source: RNAcentral
GAUUAUUAAAGAAUUUCGGUUAUCGAUGGGGAUGCGUUCCAUUAGGCAGUUGGUGGGGUAACGGCCCACCAAACCUUCGAUGGAUAGGGGUUCUGAGAGGAAGGUCCCCCACAUUGGAACUGAGACACGGUCCAAACUCCUACGGGAGGCAGCAGUGAGGAAUAUUGGUCAAUGGACGAGAGUCUGAACCAGCCAAGUAGCGUGAAGGAUGACUGCCCUAUGGGUUGUAAACUUCUUUUAUAUGGGAAUAAAGUGGUCCACGUGUGGAUUUUUGUAUGUACCAUAUGAAUAAGGAUCGGCUAACUCCGUGCCAGCAGCCGCGGUAAUACGGAGGAUCCGAGCGUUAUCCGGAUUUAUUGGGUUUAAAGGGAGCGUAGGUGGACAGUUAAGUCAGUUGUGAAAGUUUGCGGCUCAACCGUAAAAUUGCAGUUGAUACUGGCUGUCUUGAGUACAGUAGAGGUGGGCGGAAUUCGUGGUGUAGCGGUGAAAUGCUUAGAUAUCACGAAGAACUCCGAUUGCGAAGGCAGCUCACUGGACUGCAACUGACACUGAUGCUCGAAAGUGUGGGUAUCAAACAGGAUUAGAUACCCUGGUAGUCCACACAGUAAACGAUGAAUACUCGCUGUUUGCGAUAUACAGUAAGCGGCCAAGCGAAAGCAUUAAGUAUUCCACCUGGGGAGUACGCCGGCAACGGUGAAACUCAAAGGAAUUGACGGGGGCCCGCACAAGCGGAGGAACAUGUGGUUUAAUUCGAUGAUACGCGAGGAACCUUACCCGGGCUUAAAUUGCAUUUGAAUAUAUUGGAAACAGUAUAGUCGUAAGACAAAUGUGAAGGUGCUGCAUGGUUGUCGUCAGCUCGUGCCGUGAGGUGUCGGCUUAAGUGCCAUAACGAGCGCAACCCUUAUCUUUAGUUACUAACAGGUCAUGCUGAGGACUCUAGAGAGACUGCCGUCGUAAGAUGUGAGGAAGGUGGGGAUGACGUCAAAUCAGCACGGCCCUUACGUCCGGGGCUACACACGUGUUACAAUGGGGGGUACAGAAGGCCGCUACCUGGUGACAGGAUGCUAAUCCCAAAAGCCUCUCUCAGUUCGGAUCGAAGUCUGCAACCCGACUUCGUGAAGCUGGAUUCGCUAGUAAUCGCGCAUCAGCCAUGGCGCGGUGAAUACGUUCCCGGGCCUUGUACACACCGCCCGUC